GGAUGGGCCCGCAUCUGAUUAGCUAGUUGGUGAGAUAACAGCCCACCAAGGCAUCGAUCACUAUCCGACCUGAGAGGGUGAUCGGCCACAUUGGGACUGAGACACGGCCCAAACUCCUACGGGAGGCAGCAGUGGGGAAUAUUCCACAAUGGGCGAAAGCCUGAUGCAGCAACGCCGCCUGAAGGAUGAAGGGUUUCGGCUCGUAAACUUCUAUCAAUAGGGAAGAAAAAAAUGACGGUACCUAAAUAAGAAGCCCCGGCUAACUACGUGCCAGCAGCCGCGGUAAUACGUAGGGGGCAAGCGUUAUCCGGAAUUACUGGGUGUAAAGGGAGAGUAGGCGGCAUGGUAAGUCAGAUGUGAAAGUCCGGGGCUUAACCUAGGAAUUGCAUUUGAAACUGUCGAACUAGAGUGCAGGAGAGGUAAGUGGAAUUCCUAGUGUAGCGGUGAAAUGCGUAGAUAUUAGGAGGAACACCAGUGGCGAAGGCGACUUCCUGGACUGAAACUGACGCUGAGGCUCGAAAGCGUGGGGAGCGAACAGGAUUAGAUACCCUGGUAGUCCACGCCGUAAACGAUGAAUGCUAGGUGUCGGGGGUGAACCCUCUGUGCCGCAGUUAACGCUAUAAGCACUCCACCUGGGGAGUACGACCGCAAGGUUGAAACUCAAAGGAAUUGACGGGGGCCCGCACAAGCGGUGGAGCAUGGUGGUUUAAUUUCGAAGCAACGCGAAGAACCUUUACCAAGGCUUGACAUCCCCUCUGACGCUCUAGAAGAAUAAGAGCUUCUCUUCGGAGCAGGGGUGACAGGUGGUGCAUGGUUGUCGUCAGCUCGUGUCGUGAGAUGUUGGGUUAAGUCCCGCAACGAGCGCAACCCCUAUCCUUAGUAGCCACCAUUCCGUUGGGCACUCUAGGGAGACUGCCGUGGAUAAAACGGGGGAAGGUGGGGAUGACGUCAAAUCAUCAUGCCCCUUAUGUCUUGGGCUACACACGUGCUACAAUGGCUGGUAACAAAGGGAAGCGAAACGGCGAGGUCAAGCAAAUCACAAAAACCCAGUCCCAGUUCGGAUUGUAGUCUGCAACUCGACUACAUGAAGCUGGAAUCGCUAGUA
This 1105-nucleotide ribosomal RNA is filed under the name Clostridium sp. SR1. RNAcentral's name for it is "bacterial SSU rRNA". It matches the Rfam family "Bacterial small subunit ribosomal RNA", at positions 223 to 1340 of the family's 1533-position model. The record is from RNAcentral. Lineage: Bacteria; Bacillati; Bacillota; Clostridia; Eubacteriales; Clostridiaceae.